This 414-nucleotide ribosomal RNA is filed under the name uncultured bacterium. RNAcentral describes it as "bacterial SSU rRNA". It matches the Rfam family "Bacterial small subunit ribosomal RNA", at positions 30 to 447 of the family's 1533-position model. The record is from RNAcentral.
AUUGAACGCUGGCGGCAUGCCUUACACAUGCAAGUCGAACGGCAGCACGGGAGCAAUCCUGGUGGCGAGUGGCGAACGGGUGAGUAAUAUAUCGGAACGUGCCCGGUCGUGGGGAUAACGUAGCGAAAGCUACGCUAAUACCGCAUACGAUCUACGGAUGAAAGCGGGGGAUCGCAAGACCUCGUGCGAUUGGAGCGGCCGAUAUCAGAUUAGGUAGUUGGUGAGGUAAAGGCUCACCAAGCCGACGAUCUGUAGCUGGUCUGAGAGGACGACCAGCCACACUGGGACUGAGACACGGCCCAGACUCCUACGGGAGGCAGCAGUGGGGAAUAUUGGACAAUGGGCGAAAGCCUGAUCCAGCAAUGCCGCGUGAGUGAUGAGGGCCUCGGUUGUAAGCUCUUUACCCGUACGAUG